GGAACAGAGGCCGGCCCAAAUAGCUCCACACGUUGGCAAUGGAAGGGGAUGGGACCGAAAGAGGCCUUCGGUGCGGUGGGAGACGCCGGGCAGGGCGGCUUUGGUGCCCGGGUUGGGCAUCGCAUCCCAGGGGGGAGCGGCGCUGGAGCCGCCGUAAUUAACGGCGAAGGAGAACGGCGAUCCGUCGGGAUCCUGCGGCUCCCCCAGGCAGCCCGAGCUCCUCCUGCAGACGGACACGGCCCCGGCGCUGCUGCGGUGCCCAGUCAAUGCUUAAAGAAAAAGCCUUUGCCCGGCUCAGCACCCGUUCCGCUUGUCCUCUGCUGCAGAAAGCAGCCCUGGGGGUGCCGAUGGGGGUCCCGCGGUGCCGGGGAGAUUGCCCGGGGCACUGCGAGGUUUCCAGCUUCCUAUCUCUCCUAUGAAUGGUCGCACAAUUGUGAUUAAACCGUCGGGGUUUUGCCCCGAAGAGGUUAUGAAGUUGCCUUGAACUUGUUUGUUUGUUUGUUUGUUUGAUGCCAUGCUUCCUUUUAUUGAAAAAUAAAUAAAUGAAUCCACAAUUCCUGUAGGAAAAUGUGUAGGGUCGUGAAACGCUCACUAUCCCUUUUAAGUCAGUUUUGGAAAUAACAAACAGGGAUGUAAUCCGUAGGAUCUGAGAAAAGGGGCUCGGGAUAAGCCAGACAGUGGCUGUUGCACGUG
This 693-nucleotide long non-coding RNA is filed under the name Gallus gallus (chicken). RNAcentral describes it as "long non-coding RNA NONGGAT005749". Lineage: Eukaryota; Metazoa; Chordata; Aves; Galliformes; Phasianidae. The record is from RNAcentral.